This 497-nucleotide ribosomal RNA is filed under the name uncultured bacterium. Its description in RNAcentral is "partial 16S ribosomal RNA". It matches the Rfam family "Bacterial small subunit ribosomal RNA", at positions 28 to 507 of the family's 1533-position model. The record is from RNAcentral.
GACGAACGCUGGCGGCGUGCCUAAUACAUGCAAGUUGAGCGCUGAAGGUUGGUACUUGUACCAACUGGAUGAGCAGCGAACGGGUGAGUAACGCGUGGGGAAUCUGCCUUUGAGCGGGGGACAACAUUUGGAAACGAAUGCUAAUACCGCAUAAAACCUUUAAACACAAGUUUUAAGUUUGAAAGAUGCAAUUGCAUCACUCAAAGAUGAUCCCGCGUUGUAUUAGCUAGUUGGUGAGGUAAAGGCUCACCAAGGCGAUGAUACAUAGCCGACCUGAGAGGGUGAUCGGCCACAUUGGGACUGAGACACGGCCCAAACUCCUACGGGAGGCAGCAGUAGGGAAUCUUCGGAAAUGGACGAAAGUCUGACCGAGCAACGCCGCGUGAGUGAAGAAGGUUUUCGGAUCGUAAAACUCUGUUGGUAGAGAAGAACGUUGGUGAGAGUGGAAAGCUCAUCAAGUGACGGUAACUACCCAGAAAGGGACGGCUAACUACGUG